AUUGAACGCUGGCGGAAUGCUUUACACAUGCAAGUCGAACGGCAGCACGGGGGCAACCCUGGUGGCGAGUGGCGAACGGGUGAGUAAUACAUCGGAACGUGCCCAGUCGUGGGGGAUAACGUAGCGAAAGUUACGCUAAUACCGCAUACGAUCUACGGAUGAAAGCGGGGGACCGUAAGGCCUCGCGCGAUUGGAGCGGCCGAUGUCAGAUUAGGUAGUUGGUGAGGUAAAGGCUCACCAAGCCGACGAUCUGUAGCUGGUCUGAAAGGACGACCACGCACAGUGGGGCGUAGUAACGGCCCAGACUCCAACGGGAGGCAGCAGUGGGGAAUUUUGGACAAUGGGCGCAAGCCUGAUCCAGCCAUUCCGCGGGCAGGACGAAGGCCUUCGGGUUGUAAACUGCUUUUGUACGGAACGAAAAGGCUCUGGUUAAUACCUGGGGCUCAUGACGGUACCGUAAGAAUAAGCACCGGCUAACUACGUGCCAGCCGCCGCCGUAA
Molecule: ribosomal RNA, 500 nt
Filed under: uncultured bacterium
Lineage: Bacteria
Description: partial 16S ribosomal RNA
Rfam family: Bacterial small subunit ribosomal RNA
Source: RNAcentral